CCACAAGGAUGAUAUGCUAGAACUCUCUCUUACUGAGUUAACAGUGGAGAAUUGCCUCACUGAGUGGU
This is a small nucleolar RNA of Spea bombifrons (plains spadefoot toad), 68 nucleotides long. RefSeq annotates it as small nucleolar RNA SNORD26. Lineage: Eukaryota; Metazoa; Chordata; Amphibia; Anura; Pelobatidae. The record is from RefSeq and is a predicted model, not a curated record. The transcript has a single exon.